AGCUUUGCACAGUGGCGGUAUGGUAGCCAGUGAGGUUUAUCCGAGGCGUGAUUAUUGCUAAUUGAAAAUUUUUCCCAUAAAGCAGAAAAAGCUAAAAAUCUACAUGAUUCAUGAAGACAUAUGUCU
Molecule: small nuclear RNA, 126 nt
Filed under: Vicugna pacos (alpaca)
Lineage: Eukaryota; Metazoa; Chordata; Mammalia; Artiodactyla; Camelidae
Description: U4 spliceosomal RNA (ENSVPAG00000016323.1)
Rfam family: U4 spliceosomal RNA
About the family: U4 small nuclear RNA (U4 snRNA) is a component of the major U2-dependent spliceosome. The structure of U4 snRNA from yeast and human has been reported.
Source: Rfam by way of RNAcentral